Molecule: long non-coding RNA, 135 nt
Organism: Herpailurus yagouaroundi (jaguarundi)
Lineage: Eukaryota; Metazoa; Chordata; Mammalia; Carnivora; Felidae
Exons: 3
Source: RefSeq, a predicted model, not a curated record
GUCAGGGUUUUUUGCAGUUCUGUACAAAUUUUUGGAUGACUUAUUCUAGUUCUGCGAAAAAUGCUAUUGGUAUUUUGAUAGAGAUUGCAUUAAAUCUGUAGAUUACUUUUGGGUAGUGUGGACAUUUUAACAAUA